RNAcentral lists this ribosomal RNA (468 nucleotides) under uncultured bacterium. RNAcentral's name for it is "partial 16S ribosomal RNA". It matches the Rfam family "Bacterial small subunit ribosomal RNA", at positions 28 to 507 of the family's 1533-position model. The record is from RNAcentral.
GACGAACGCUGGCGGCGUGCUUAACACAUGCAAGUCGAACGGAAAGGCCCUGCUUUUGCGGGGUGCUCGAGUGGCGAACGGGUGAGUAACACGUGAGUAACCUGCCCCUGACAUUGGGAUAACUCCAGGAAACUGGGGCUCAUACCGGAUAGGAGAUCCUGAUGCAUGGUGGGGGUUGGAAAGUUUCGGCGGUUGGGGCUGGUUUCGCUGCUUAUCGGCUUGUUUGGGGGGUAGUGGCUUACCAAGGCUUUGACGGGUAGCCGGCCUGGGAGGGUGAACGGGCACAAUGGGACUGAGAUACGGCCCAGACUGCUACGGGAGGCAGCAGUGGGGAAUAUUGCGGAAUGGGCGGAAGCCAGAUGCAGCAGCGCCGCGUGCGGGAUGACGGCCUUCGGGUUGUAAACCGCUGUGGCCUGUGACGAAGCGUGAGUGACGGUAAUGGGUAAAGAAGCACCGGCUAACUACGUG